Molecule: long non-coding RNA, 630 nt
Organism: Danio aesculapii
Lineage: Eukaryota; Metazoa; Chordata; Actinopteri; Cypriniformes; Danionidae
Exons: 4
Source: RefSeq, a predicted model, not a curated record
AAAUAUUAAGAAGAUUUCGCUAAUAUAACUAAGAUUUUAAUUUCACUUAUUUUUUUAAGCAAACUAGUGCAAUUAUUAAGCUUAAUUUGAGAAACCAGUUAAGCUAAUAAAAUUGAGGAAAGAUGGCUUCACGUUUAUUUUAAGAAAAUUCACUCAAUUAUGUGGAUUUGAUUGAGAUGUUUGCAUUUGAAUCUCAACAACGGCAGUGAUCAGACGACAUUUUGAAGGAGCAGAUCAACAGCGAGCAUGUUAAGAGUUUAAUGAAGAAAACUUUUGCAGAGUUUUCCCACUAAAGAGGAGCAGUUUAUUGAGGCAGAUUUUGAUAAAGAGAAUGGGUGCCAUACAUCAGACCUCACAUUAAAUCAGGGAUGAAACGAGAGAUGUCGUCCUCUGUUGCUGGUCUAUCUGUAUGAAUAAGAGGAAGAGCUCAUCCAGGAGUGCAAUUGUGGGAAUGCACAGAGAAUUGCUGUCUGUCAGAGGGAUGACCAACCAUGAGGACUUCUGCAUUGUCUUGGAGGAUAAGUGAGUCAUGGCUAGCCUGGAAAAUCUAGAAUCGCUGAACUGGAUUUAUACAAAUAUUCCACAAAUUAAAAUCACUUACAAAGAAAUGAAUAUUAAGUUUGCAAUACA